AACGAACGCUGGCGGCAUGCCUAACACAUGCAAGUCGAACGAGACCUUCUGGUCUAGUGGCGCACGGGUGCGUAACGCGUGGGAACCUGCCCUUAGGUUCGGAAUACCUCCCCGAAAGGGGUGCUAAUACCGGAUAAUGUCUUCGGACCAAAGAUUUAUCGCCUUUGGAUGGGCCCGCGUUGGAUUAGCUAGUUGGUAGGGUAAAAGCCUACCAAGGCGACGAUCCAUAGCUGGUCUGAGAGGAUGAUCAGCCACACUGGGACUGAGACACGGCCCAGACUCCUACGGGAGGCAGCAGUGGGGAAUAUUGGACAAUGGGCGAAAGCCUGAUCCAGCAAUGCCGCGUGAGUGAUGAAGGCCUUAGGGUUGUAAAGCUCUUUUACCCGGGAUGAUAAUGACAGUACCGGGAGAAUAAGCUCCGGCUAACUCCGUG
This 433-nucleotide ribosomal RNA is filed under the name uncultured bacterium. RNAcentral describes it as "partial 16S ribosomal RNA". It matches the Rfam family "Bacterial small subunit ribosomal RNA", at positions 29 to 507 of the family's 1533-position model. The record is from RNAcentral.